Pieris napi is the source of this 664-nucleotide long non-coding RNA. RefSeq lists it as uncharacterized. The transcript is spliced from 4 exons. Lineage: Eukaryota; Metazoa; Arthropoda; Insecta; Lepidoptera; Pieridae. The record is from RefSeq and is a predicted model, not a curated record.
CCACAGACCGAUACGUACGUCGUUUAAAAUGCAAUUUCUACGUAUUAAUACUUUUGGUAUAUUAACGCUAUUUGUUGUCGAACAUCUAUGUGUUCUGGAGGUUUAUAUGGAAAGAUGUGAACUUGACGUUGUCAAUGCGUCCUAUUUUAAAGAACUGAAAUUCAAUGUAAGGAAAUAUUCGCGAACCGGUAAAAGAUAUCUCAACGCAUAUGCUGCAAUUGUGAAGCCCUUGAGAAAAAAUAUGAUGGUAACGAUUACAUUUGAAGAGUAUCUACAUAAUGAAUACAGACCAACCUUCAUACAUUUCGAUUUCAUGUGGUGUGACCUGUUAGAGUCACCAUUCAUGCUCUUGAAGGAAAGAUAUGGGAUCCCAUGUCCUACGACACCGAUGGAGUAUACUAUACCUAAUAUUACAAUAUAUACCGAAACAUUACCAGAAGCAUUUCCCAUUCGUCAAGGAAGGAUACGUAUUCGAGCAUACGAACCAAGUCCUAAAAUUGCAAUUGCCUCUGGAUAUUUAUACGCGUCUUUUACAAAAAAAACGAAACAUUGACAUGGUUUAUUUGUACAAUAGUUUGUACUAAUAAUAAAAAAAUAUAUUCAGACAUUUUUACAAUCAUUUCUGCGAAACCUAAUCUUAAUUCAUAAAUGGACAAAAUGUUUC